This is a signal recognition particle RNA of 87 nucleotides. It matches the Rfam family "Bacterial small signal recognition particle RNA". Rfam says of the family: The signal recognition particle (SRP) is a universally conserved ribonucleoprotein involved in the co-translational targeting of proteins to membranes. Archaeal SRP consists of a 7S RNA and homologues of the eukaryotic SRP19 and SRP54 proteins.
AACCAAGCAGGAGCAUUACACAAUUAACCAGGCCAGGUCAGGAAUGAAGCAGCCUUAUAUUUGCGUGGUGUUGUCUGUUUGUCAUUG